RNAcentral lists this ribosomal RNA (400 nucleotides) under uncultured bacterium. RNAcentral's name for it is "bacterial SSU rRNA". It matches the Rfam family "Bacterial small subunit ribosomal RNA", at positions 356 to 773 of the family's 1533-position model. The record is from RNAcentral.
GGGGAAUUUUGCGCAAUGGGGGAAACCCUGACGCAGCAACGCCGCGUGCGGGAUGAAGGCCCUAGGGUUGUAAACCGCUUUCAGCAGGGAAGAAACAUGACGGUACCUGCAGAAGAAGCUCCGGCUAACUACGUGCCAGCAGCCGCGGUAAUACGUAGGGAGCGAGCGUUAUCCGGAUUCAUUGGGCGUAAAGCGCGCGUAGGCGGCUGGCCAAGCGGGAUCUCAAAUCCGGGGGCUCAACCUCCGGCCGGAUCCCGAACUGGCCGGCUCGAGUUCGGUAGAGGAAGACGGAAUUCCCAGUGUAGCGGUGAAAUGCGCAGAUAUUGGGAAGAACACCGAUGGCGAAGGCAGUCUUCUGGGCCGCGACUGACGCUGAGGUGCGAAAGCCGGGGGAGCGAAC